This 447-nucleotide ribosomal RNA is filed under the name uncultured bacterium. RNAcentral's name for it is "SSU rRNA". It matches the Rfam family "Bacterial small subunit ribosomal RNA", at positions 26 to 518 of the family's 1533-position model. The record is from RNAcentral.
AGAGCGAACGCUGGCGGCAGGCUUAACACAUGCAAGUCGAGCGGGCGUAGCAAUACGUCAGCGGCAGACGGGUGAGUAACGCGUGGGAACAUACCUUUUGGUUCGGAACAACACAGGGAAACUUGUGCUAAUACCGGAUAAGCCCUUACGGGGAAAGAUUUAUCGCCGAAAGAUUGGCCCGCGUCUGAUUAGCUAGUUGGUGAGGUAACGGCUCACCAAGGCGACGAUCAGUAGCUGGUCUGAGAGGAUGAUCAGCCACAUUGGGACUGAGACACGGCCCAAACUCCUACGGGAGGCAGCAGUGGGGAAUAUUGGACAAUGGGCGCAAGCCUGAUCCAGCCAUGCCGCGUGAGUGAUGAAGGCCCUAGGGUUGUAAAGCUCUUUGUGCGGGAAGAUAAUGACGGUACCGCAAGAAUAAGCCCCGGCUAACUUCGCGCCAGCAGCCGC